GGAGGAAUUGAUCCCGAGCACACAGGCUCUCGGAAUCUGUCUCGCCCAAUAUAACGUCGUGAUUCGUUUUGUGUAAGAGAUGGGGCCGGUGUCAGGAGCAUCAGACAGCGUUUCAGGAGCAUCAGACAGCGUGGAAAUGAGUAGGAAAAGGAGAAAAAUCUCCUGGCCGGUGGACCUGAAGUGCGUGGUUAUUCGAGGCCGUGGAGAUUGGGCGUCAGAGCCGUGGCUCGAGACCUGCGCGAAAUUCUGGUCCGUGAUUCAAGCGUGGAAACGACGUCAUUGUGUUGCAGCAAAUGCAAACGUGGGGUAGGUGGAUCGAGCUGCCUCAUACCUCCACCAUCUCCUGGUCUGGUCUGGUAUUAUCGAGAACGGCUCGGCGGCGGCGGCUCCAUCCCUUAGGGUUGCGGUGAGGCAGCUCCGACGGCCAUGGAGUUCUUGAUGCAGCCAGUCAACAGUAGAACUUUUGAUAGAGGAAGUGAAUGACAGCGACAUACCUAUGGAGCCUCUUAGCCAUCCGGUUCUAUCGAUGCCGGGCGGGGAGUUGCCGGCAGCCAGUGCAACAGGUGCAGAUGCGCUCAUCUGCUCGGCGACUGCUGUGGGAACAGGCGAGGGUGCAGACCGGCCACAAGCAUCUGAACACUCAAUAGAACAAGUUGAUCCAUAGGCUCCGGGAUGGACACAGAGGGUCCAGGUGAGAAUGUCAUUGUGCCAAAAAUAGGGAUCAGCUUCGAUACACUUGGAGAGGCAUACGAUUUUUACAAUUUGUACUCCUGGGAGAAAGGACUUGGAAUCAGAUAUGGGAAGAGCAGACUAAAUGUCAACAGGACAAAGUGCAAGAAGUGUGGUGUUGAAGGGCACCGCAGGAACAACUGCCACAAAGCGGCUGAGCUGAGGCUUAAGAUGUGAUCGUAUGAGCCUUUGUACAAUGUUAAUCUAGACAUUGUUCUGUAUUUUUAUGGAUCAGAAUGGUUUCUCCAUCUCUGCAUUAACCAGCUCUAAAGAUUGCUCUCUUGCCCGUGUCGUUCCUGUUCAGGAAGAUGCAGAUUCGGAGCCUUCGGUGAAUCAAGGAGCAGAAUCCCAGCUCAGCGAACCUGACGCUUCAAUUGUUUCUUCGGUUUCAGAGAAUGUAAGCAACUAAUUCAUUGGAUUGGACUUGCACCCGUGCUUACUGAUUAGUAUUACCUCGUAUGAUAUGAAGGCAGGGGAAGCAGGCUUAGAGACGCAUGCCGGUGAGGUAGCAGUCAUGCACCCCGCUGUUGCAGAUGCAGUAGAGGGGUGCGGCAACCAUGAUCCCGAAGCUGGUUGGAAGAUGGUCAACACUUCAGAUGCUGAGUAGGAAGGAGCCACGGGACAGGCUUCAGAAUCAGUGAUGGAGGAGGAUGCUGUUGAAGAGAGCACCGUGUCGGUUGCCAAGCGACGUAGGAUUAUGUAGGGAUCUGUAGUUAGCCACGUGUAAUAGGGGAGCAGUGCAGGCAAAGACGUCUUUGCCGUUUUAGGCUGGUCACAAUGGUCAAGAACAUAAGCUAGUAACUUACACACUUCCCUAGACUAUGUUACUAUCUCCAUAGUGGGUAGGAACAUCUAUGUAGUGUCAUGCAACUAUGUAUUUAUUAGGUUAUAGACUCAUUGUUUCUUGGAGUGUGUGAUGUUCGGGUAACUUAGCUACUCCCUCCGUUCAGGUGCAUAGGGCAUCUAACGAAAAUCAGCUAUUCCAAAUGUAUAAGUCGUGUAGCUAUUAAUUCAAUCUCGUUAUCCUCCAACGCCUCGUAUGCCUCAUAUCCAUACGCAGCCCGCUGUGAUUAA
This is a long non-coding RNA of Triticum aestivum (bread wheat), 1803 nucleotides long. RefSeq lists it as uncharacterized. The record is from RefSeq and is a predicted model, not a curated record. The transcript is spliced from 4 exons. NCBI's taxonomy places the organism in Eukaryota, Viridiplantae, Streptophyta, Magnoliopsida, Poales, Poaceae.